GAAGGUAUAGCUCAGUGGUAGAGUGCAUGCUUAGCAUGCAUGAGGUCCUGGGUUCAAUCCUCAGUACUUCCA
Molecule: transfer RNA, 72 nt
Filed under: Camelus bactrianus (Bactrian camel)
Lineage: Eukaryota; Metazoa; Chordata; Mammalia; Artiodactyla; Camelidae
Also listed under: 2 other names
Rfam family: tRNA
About the family: Transfer RNA (tRNA) molecules are approximately 80 nucleotides in length. Their secondary structure includes four short double-helical elements and three loops (D, anti-codon, and T loops).
Source: Rfam by way of RNAcentral